Molecule: small nucleolar RNA, 121 nt
Organism: Dipodomys spectabilis (banner-tailed kangaroo rat)
Lineage: Eukaryota; Metazoa; Chordata; Mammalia; Rodentia; Heteromyidae
Product: small nucleolar RNA SNORA40
Exons: 1
Source: RefSeq, a predicted model, not a curated record
UACUUUUGUGUGUGUGUCUUUGUUUAAUUUGUAACGAAGUCUUACAGACAGGGGCAAAUAGUAAAUCUCCUUUGCAAUCGCUGUUGAGUAUGAGUUUUUGGUACAUAUAAGAAGGAAUAUG